Molecule: long non-coding RNA, 864 nt
Filed under: Salmo salar (Atlantic salmon)
Lineage: Eukaryota; Metazoa; Chordata; Actinopteri; Salmoniformes; Salmonidae
Description: lncRNA (ENSSSAG00000119741.1)
Source: RNAcentral
UUCUACUACAGUAGCCAGCUAGCUCUGCAGACCCUGUUCUACUUCUACUUCAGAAGUGAAAUACAAUGUAUCAAGUGUAUGAGUCUGUCCUCAUUGCACGUCUGUUAUUUGAUAUCGCACCUCAAAUGAUGAGCUGGUGGACUGAGACCAGAUGGGGGGUGAAAUAGGUGGUAACAUGACAGUGUGUUAUCAGAGGACUGAGACCAGAUGGGGGGUGUAAUAGGUGGUGACAUGACAGUGUGUUAUCAGAGGACUGAGACCAGAUGGGGGGCUGUAAUAGGUGGUGACAUGACAGUGUGUUAUCAGAGGACUGAGACCAGAUGGGGGGGUGUAAUAGGUGGUGACAUGACAGUGUGUUAUCAGAGGACUGAGACCAGAUGGGGGGUGUAAUAGGUGGUGACAUGAGGGUGGGUAUAAUUUGUGGAACGUUCCAACAGGAAUCUGUUACAAAAACUCUGUAAAUAUCAAGGUUGCCAACAAACAACAUCAAACAAAGUCGUAUAACGGUAGAAUGAGAUACCGGGUAGAGAGUGAACAAUGUAAUAACGUUUUUCAACCACCACGUUUAUUCUGAAAAAUGUCUCUCUUCGUUCUGGUAGCCUCCACCAUUCCUCGUUCGUUGGUUUAGUUAUUAUUUCCGGUGUUCCUGCAUUCGCCAGGUGAACUCUGUUGCGCCUCAAUUAGGGAAUCGCUAUGGUUGAAAUGUAACUAAUGACUGCCAGCCCCAGUAUUUUAUUAGCUAGGUGGCUUGGACACAAUUGUUACCGAUGAUACUGUAUACACCAGCCUACUCGUACUACAGAAACAUACAUUGUAUUUUGCCAAGUUCUGUCUGUGUUAAUCCUGUUUCCCAAAUAUAUCAGC